UGGAAAGAUAAAUGAAUGCCUAAAUGAAUGAGUGAAUGAUUUAUCAAUGAAUGAGUUGAACUGAAUGACAAACCCACAGUUAGACAUUGUGACUUUAGAGUCAGAAUUGAUGAAGUCUCAAGAUGCUUUGUGAACUAGUACAUCUUUUCAAGUUCAGGAUGAUGCUUGUAUAAGUAGCUCUUUCUGUUUAUCUGACCACAUGCAUUAUCUUUGAAGACCUAAGCUGACAUCAUCCACACCUGUGAGAGGCCCAGAUACCUGUGUAUGUGUGUUUGUGUUCAUGGAGGACUUCUUUAUAGCCAGCCAAAUUGCAAGCUUCCCAGGGGCAGGAAGGAUAUUGAGGACAGAACUUCUACCCUGGCAAAAAUCUAAGGACCUCAGAAGGGACUCUUCUCACCCCAACAGCCUCCUAAGCUGGAUCAUGUUAUCCUCAGAAGGAGGGAUCAUCUACUUCUGGAGUCAGUGCCUUUCCAAGUUUCCCUUGCUGGCUCAAGAUGGUGGUGUGGUUUGACGACGACAAAACGAUGCCCUGAUCAUACAGAACAGACUUUUUGUGGUGGAUUCAGCUACCUCAAGAGUGUAUAUACAGGAACAACUGGGCGGCUCAGUUGGCUAAAUGUCUGACUCUUGAUCUCAAAGUUGUGAGUUUAAGCCCCAUGUUGGGCAUCACAAAGUAUUACGCAGUACUGCUUCUACCACCAGGGGACAGGAAAAGGAAUGGGUAAUCUAGAAGCCACUAAUAAAACUAAACGCUUAUCUGAG
RNAcentral lists this long non-coding RNA (762 nucleotides) under Vulpes vulpes (red fox). Its description in RNAcentral is "lncRNA (ENSVVUG00000015753.1)". Lineage: Eukaryota; Metazoa; Chordata; Mammalia; Carnivora; Canidae. The record is from RNAcentral.